GUUUGAACUUUAAAAUUAUAAUAAAAAAUAAUAAAUGCUUCAUGUAAAGAUUAACAUUCUGUCUCAGUACUUAAGGUUGUUUCUCACCCUUUAGAAAGGAAGGAUGAAGAAAUGGAGUUCUGAAGUGGGACCAUCCCUUUCAGUUGAGGGUGCCAUCAGCUGGGUCUCCCUGUUGGCAACAGCAUGACAGAUGGCGACACAUCUCAUGUUUGCAGCAAAGGCUGCUUUGGCUUACAUCUGUCCGGCUAGCAAAACAGAGCAAGCUGCCAAAAACAACAGUCCGAGUGAAAACAGAGUAAUAACACCAGCAGCGUGGGAGACAGCAGCCAAGGAGGAACACACGAGCCCCAGAGAACAGGCCAUCAAUUUUCUUGCUGUGGCUGGCUGGAGUAAACUGAAAUGUAUAUUGCAGUGGCUUCUGACGCCGGCCACUGCCUUAUGCUCCACACUUCAGACUCAAAAUACGUUACCCUAAAAAUGAAGCAAAAAAUUCCCCAAGCUAUUAAUAGAUUCGUAUAAAGAAAUCCCUUGUAGUUUUUAAUCGUUUACAUCUGGGACUGAGAAACCAACCGUAAAAUGUCAGUAUAGCUAUUACAUGGGUCACUGGAACAGGUUUAUGUUAGCUAAUAUGCUGAAACAGUAGAUUUGGAAGAGGAUAGUUUAUGGCCUUUAGUUCAUUUGUUGACAGGAAGAAUCAGGAGCAGAUUUGUUUUAUGCCUGAACCCAUCACGGAACAACUAGGAACAGAGCAGUGAUUAAAGUCCAGGCAACAGGAAUAGGAUAACGACUAGGCUGCAUAUAUAUUUCUGUGAGUGAACUAGAUGUUUGUGAAGGGAAGGAGCUAAUGAGAUCACAGAAAUCAGCAGAGCAGAGCAGAGUGCUCCUGUGCAGCCCUCUGAAGUGACUCAGCAAAG
Molecule: long non-coding RNA, 914 nt
Filed under: Numida meleagris (helmeted guineafowl)
Lineage: Eukaryota; Metazoa; Chordata; Aves; Galliformes; Numididae
Description: lncRNA (ENSNMEG00000004716.1)
Source: RNAcentral